RNAcentral lists this ribosomal RNA (253 nucleotides) under uncultured bacterium. RNAcentral's name for it is "partial 16S ribosomal RNA". It matches the Rfam family "Bacterial small subunit ribosomal RNA", at positions 524 to 776 of the family's 1533-position model. The record is from RNAcentral.
GACAGAGGUGCCGAGCGUUAGGCGGAAUCACUGGGCUUAAAGCGCGUGUAGGCGGCCCUGCAAGUCGGGUGUGAAAUCCCACGGCUCAACCGUGGAAGUGCACUCGAAACUGCAGGGCUAGAGUCCUGGAGAGGAAGGUGGAAUGCUUGGUGUAGAGGUGAAAUUCGUAGAUAUCAAGCGGAACACCGGUGGCGAAGGCGGCCUUCUGGACAGUGACUGACGCUGAGACGCGAAAGCGUGGGGAGCAAACAGG